GGAGAGGAAAAAACCAAACUCUAUCCCCUUGGCAGAGAACAUACAGUUAUUGGAAAAAGGCUUCUUCUUAGAGAGGCAUAAAGGAAAAAAACAGAUGGAAAAAAAAUCCUUUCAACAGCAGUGAAGGAUAAGAAAAACAAUUUGAUAUCUUAUGAUGAGGACACCCCUGGAAGCUGCCCUAGGCAUUGUUCAUUUCCAGGUUUUCACACAGUCUGGUAGAGCCAGAGUUUUCUCCUGUGUCAUUAUGGAGCUCGUUCCUUUCUGACUAUUGUCAAAUGUAUGAAUAAAAUGAAGUGAUGAAAUAAUUCAGCUGUUGUAACUUUCAGUGUAAAAUCCUGUCAUUAUUCUUCGUUGUACUUCCCAUAUUGAACCAGAACACAGGUUUGAGGACUGCAUCUCUAACAAAGGCUCAUCUGAUAAAGAAUACUCAAAUUAACUGGUGAGUUAGAUGGGAUAGAGUGGCUCCCACAGCAAACUGGCAGAUGACACCACAGUGGGAGGAGAGGAGAAGCUGAUACACCACAUGGAUGAGCUGUUAUCCAGAGGGACAUCCCCAAAACUGGAGGAGUGGGGUGACAGGACACUCAUGAGGUUCAGCAGGGGGAGUUGCCAGGUGAUUCUGUGAUGCACCACAGAAAAUUUAUGACUGCUGAAUGGCAAAAGAGGGA
This is a non-coding RNA of Zonotrichia albicollis (white-throated sparrow), 668 nucleotides long. Lineage: Eukaryota; Metazoa; Chordata; Aves; Passeriformes; Passerellidae. The record is from RefSeq and is a predicted model, not a curated record.